Molecule: unclassified non-coding RNA, 241 nt
Filed under: Hevea brasiliensis (rubber tree)
Lineage: Eukaryota; Viridiplantae; Streptophyta; Magnoliopsida; Malpighiales; Euphorbiaceae
Source: RNAcentral
AGCUUUGAACAUUAGAAAUCACCUUAUGAUCUAGACCCUACACAUUGUAAAAAUAUAGAAUGUCGCGCCCCAUUUUUUCGCAAAAAGGGUUUCGAUCAUGACCUAAUAACUCUGUUGAAAUUUUGAAAUUGAAGAGUAAUCACCUAACGAAUUAAGGCACAUUAAGACACCUAUCUAACCUACUUAAGUCAAAUUUAAGGUCAACGAACCAAAGAUCAGCGCAAGGGUUCAAAUUACCUCG